UCUGGUGGUGAUGGCGAAGAGGUCACACCCGUUCCCAUACCGAACACGGAAGUUAAGCUCUUCAGCGCCGAUGGUAGUCGGGGGUUUCCCCCUGUGAGAGUAGGACAUCGCCAGGC
Molecule: ribosomal RNA, 116 nt
Filed under: Bacillus inaquosorum
Lineage: Bacteria; Bacillati; Bacillota; Bacilli; Caryophanales; Bacillaceae
Source: RNAcentral